RNAcentral lists this ribosomal RNA (576 nucleotides) under uncultured eukaryote. RNAcentral's name for it is "SSU rRNA". It matches the Rfam family "Eukaryotic small subunit ribosomal RNA", at positions 174 to 758 of the family's 1831-position model. The record is from RNAcentral.
UAAAAACCCCGACUUCGGAAGGGGUGUAUUUAUUAGAUACAAAACCAAUGCCCUUCGGGGCUCUUUGGUGAUUCAUGAUAACUAUACGAAUCGCACGGCCUUGCGCCGGCGAUGGUUCAUUCAAAUUUCUUCCCUAUCAACUUUCGAUGUUUGGGUAUUGGCCAAACAUGGUUGCAACGGGUAACGGAGGGUUAGGGCUCGACCCCGGAGAAGGAGCCUGAGAAACGGCUACUACAUCCAAGGAAGGCAGCAGGCGCGCAAAUUACCCAAUCCCGACUCGGGGAGGUAGUGACAAUAAAUACUGAUACAGGGCCCUUUCGGGCCUUGUAAUUGGAAUGAGUACAAUUUAAAUCCCUCAACGAGGAACAAUUGGAGGGCAAGUCUGGUGCCAGCAGCCGCGGUAAUUCCAGCUCCAAUAGCGUAUAUUAAAGUUGUUGUGGUUAAAAAGCUCGUAGUUGAACCUUGGGCCUGGCUGGCCGGUCCGCCUCACCGCGUGCACUGGUCCGGCCGGGCCUUUCCCUCUGUGGAACCCCAUACCCUUCACUGGGCGUGGCGGGGAAACAGGGCAUUUACUGG